Molecule: small nuclear RNA, 107 nt
Organism: Cercocebus atys (sooty mangabey)
Lineage: Eukaryota; Metazoa; Chordata; Mammalia; Primates; Cercopithecidae
Source: Ensembl
AUGCUCACUUCCACCGCACAUAAACUAAAAUUGAAGAAAUGAAUAGAUGAUUAGCAUCGCCCUUAUGUAAGGAGGACACAUAAAUUCAUAAAAUAUGCUAUAUUUCU